CACAUGCAAGUCGAACGGUAACAGGUCUUCGGAUGCUGACGAGUGGCGAACGGGUGAGUAAUACAUCGGAACGUGCCUAGUAGUGGGGGAUAACUACUCGAAAGAGUAGCUAAUACCGCAUGAGAUCUACGGAUGAAAGCAGGGGACCUUCGGGCCUUGUGCUACUAGAGCGGCUGAUGGCAGAUUAGGUAGUUGGUGGGGUAAAGGCUUACCAAGCCUGCGAUCUGUAGCUGGUCUGAGAGGACGACCAGCCACACUGGGACUGAGACACGGCCCAGACUCCUACGGGAGGCAGCAGUGGGGAAUUUUGGACAAUGGGCGAAAGCCUGAUCCAGCAAUGCCGCGUGCAGGAUGAAGGCCCUCGGGUUGUAAACUGCUUUUGUACGGAACGAAAAGCCUGGGGCUAAUAUCCCCGGGUCAUGACGGUACCGUAAGAAUAAGCACCGGCUAACUACGUGCCAGCAGCCGCGGUAAUACGUAGGGUGCAAGCGUUAAUCGGAAUUACUGGGCGUAAAGCGUGCGCAGGCGGUUUUGUAAGACAGUGGUGAAAUCCCCGGGCUCAACCUGGGAACUGCCAUUGUGACUGCAAGGCUAGAGUGCGGCAGAGGGGGAUGGAAUUCCGCGUGUAGCAGUGAAAUGCGUAGAUAUGCGGAGGAACACCGAUGGCGAAGGCAAUCCCCUGGGCUGCACUGACGCUCAU
Molecule: ribosomal RNA, 700 nt
Filed under: uncultured beta proteobacterium
Lineage: Bacteria; Pseudomonadati; Pseudomonadota; Betaproteobacteria
Description: bacterial SSU rRNA
Rfam family: Bacterial small subunit ribosomal RNA
Source: RNAcentral